Molecule: long non-coding RNA, 4141 nt
Organism: Equus caballus (horse)
Lineage: Eukaryota; Metazoa; Chordata; Mammalia; Perissodactyla; Equidae
Source: Ensembl
CUCAACCAUAAAAAAAGACAAAAUGGUCCCAUUCGCAACAACGUGGAUGGACCUUGAGGGUAUUAUGUUAAGCGAGAUAAGCCAGACAGAGAAAGACAAACACUGCAUGAUUUCACUCAUAUGUGGAAGAUUAACACAUGGACAAAGAGAACAGAUCAGUGGUUACCCGAGGAAAGGGGAUUGAGGAAUGGGCACAAGCGGGAAAGGGACACAUUUAUAUGGUCACUGACAAAUAAUAAUGUACCACUGAAAUUUCACAAUGUUAUAAACUAUUAUGACCUCUAUAAAAUAAAAAAUUGUUCUUGGGUAGGCUAAGACUAACCAGACACACUUCCCCCUGAACUUUCUCCUAUUCCCUGUCUAGCCAUGAAACUUGCUAUUUAUAUCCAGUGGGCAGGGUCAACCAUUAAAAUAACCCCACAUUUGUUUAGUCAAACUACUUGCUAUCAAUCAACAGUCCUUCAUCUGGAAAACGAAGACUGCAUUGGAGCAAACAAAACAUACUCCCUGACGAGAGCCACUCAAACUGGAAAGCAGUGUGCUAGUGCUUAGUGGCUAGGACUGUGAGCUGGUGUAUUAGUCACCUACCGCUGACAGGAUGUUGCAUAACAAACCAUCCCCCAAAACCCAGUGGCUUACCACAAGCACUUGUGGUUGACAAGUGUGGCUCAGUUUUAGGCUUCUGGUUAACUGGACCUGGCUCCAGAUUUCAGAUUGUGUUCCAGUUUAUUCCAUGGAUGUCCCACACUCUCCUUGGGUCAGCGACUACCAUGACCUUCUCAUGGCCGAUCACAGGACUGCAGGAGGGCAAGGCAAACACAAAACUGGUUAAAGCCGCUGCUCACAUCAUAUCCACUAAUAUUCCAUUGGCUCAAGCAAGCCCAACAUGAAACGGGUGGAGAAAUAUAUUUCAUCUGCAGUGAGAGGAUUCUGCAAAGUCCUAUAAUGAAGGUGUAUGCAUGUAAUCCUGUUAAAGGGAGGUAAAGAAUUGGGACCAAUAGUCUAAUCCAAAGCAGCAAACGACAGUCCCUGGGCUAAAUCUGGCUGCUGCCUGUUUCUGUAAGUAGUUUUAUCGGAAUCUCACAAUGUUAUAAACUAUUAUGACUUCUAUAAAAGUGGUACAUUAUUAUUUGUCAGUGACCAUAUAAAUGUGUACAGUUGAGAUAGUUGUAGAUGCACGUGCACUUGUGAGAAAUAAUAUUGAGGGAUCCCUUGUACAUUUCACCCAGUUUCCCCCAAUGGUAACCUACCACCUGUUUUUGUACAGCUCUUGUGCUAAGAAUGGUUUUCAGAUUUUUACACGGUUGAAAGACAAAAAAUCAAAAGCAUUUUAUGAUGUGAAAAUUAUAUGAAAUUCAAGUGUGUGUCCAUAAAUAACAUGAGACUGGAACACAGCCAUGCCCGUUCAUUUACCUUAUUAUGGCUGCUUCCGGGCUGCAAUGGCCGAGUUGGGUAGUUAAGACAGAGACCAUGGGCAAAGCCUAUAAUACAUACGAUCUAGGCCUUUACAGGAGAGACUGGCCCACCCCACCCUAACCUGCCACAGUUGGCACUCACUGUAAUGACAAAGCUCGCCUUUGCUUUGUGAUUACUCUUUGCCAGACACUCUUGCAAGUGCCUUACCUACCGUAAGUCACAUAAUCAUCGCAAGAACUGUAUGAAGAGCUCUUCUCCCCAUUUUAUGCAUGAGUCAGCUGAGGCCAUGGAACUUGCCCAAGGUCAUAUAGGUAAUGAGUGUGGUGGAGCCCGGCUUCAAACUCAACAACCCAUCCAAGAUCCUGCAGCGUUAACCUUGGAGCUGUUCCAGGGCUCUCAGCAAUCCAUAUCCCAGUGUCACUGGGGGCAGUGGAUUCUAAGCGCUCUGUGUACUGCGCAGCAGAAGAAUUUAAACAAAAAAUGCAUCAGAGGAGAGUGCCAACAACCCCUGAGCAGCCCUUAGCAGGGCCUUUCCAGUCUCUGCUGGAAUUCUCCCCAUCCUUUAAAGCCUCUUUCAAAUGCCGCCUCUUAACCCCGCCCCAACCAGAAGUGCUUUCUCUUUCUUCUUUCUCAAAGCAAACAGUUGCUCUCAUCACAUUCUGCUUUGGGGUUUGUGGUGUUUUGCACAUCUCACUCCCCUGCCGUGGUAAACUCCACUGGGCAUACAGACCCUGUGAUGCUCAAAUCUGUGCUCGGUUGAGUGGGCACAGAGUAUCCUCCUGAUUUCUGUGUGAAGUGUGUGAGUCACCAACAUGGUUAUGUGACAGUCAGGAAUUGUGAAACUUUGCCUCUGGUGUCUACGUGGUUUUGUGGUUUGAGGUAGCAAAGCCCUCCUGCUGCUGAGUGGCUGUUGGUAGGAAGGUUGGAGAAGACAUUGGAAAGAUGAGCCAUUUUCUGGUCUUGAAAGUGUUCCGCUCUUCAGAACCGUCAGUAUUGUACAGUAACUUUUUCUUAUUGCAAAAGCAAUAUGCGGUCGCUGAGGAAAUGUAGAAAAGCAAAAUAAAAACUAAAGACCUAUAAUCUAGCCAUUGCAAGAUCUUGCUAUUAGGGGCACCUCCAACCCAAAGGCAGGUAAGGAACUUUUCCCUGUUGUAAAUGCCGUGAUGAAAAGCUUUGUGGAGAACUGUGGAAUGCAUCCUUAUUUCCUGAAGAUGAACUUCAAAGAUAGCAUGGUAGUUGAGAGCCCAAAGGCUGUGGUCAGGAUCCUGGUUUGAAUUCUGGCUCCAUGAUUUUAUUACUUGCAUGACCUCGAUCGUAUUACUUGAGACCUCUAUGCCUCAUUUUUCUAACCUAUAAAAUGGAGAUAAUCAUAGUGCCUACUUCACGGAGUUGUCGUGAAGAUUAAAUGUUAAUCUAUGUAAAGAGCUAGAAGCGUGCCUGGCACAUAAUAAGCCCCAGAUCAACAGCUAGCGAACUAUAAUUUACAUUUUUUUUUUUUAUAAUUUACAUUUUUAAGUGAGUAGUUAAUACCCAACAGUUCUCAAUUACCCAUGCCUGCUAGGAUAUACAGGAGUUUCCUUAAUCCUCAAAUCAUUUAUAUGUGACUUGGGAGUUAAUGACGUAAUUUUUGUGUUGGAUUUACUUUGUUAAUAGUAGUUGCUGUUGCUCAUAGUUGAAUUAUGACAAACUUACACACAUCUCGUCCUUUAUCCUCUUCUCUUUGGUCAAAUAAAAAAUGCCUGUACUUUCAAAAUAAGUGGACACAAUAGAAUAGAAAUCAUCUAUUCAUUACAAACAAAGUUUAAUUCCACCUCUGGAGACUGGGGAAAGAGAGUUCUCAGGCUGUGCUAGGAGGAGAGUUAUUGGAGAGCAAUUUAACGAUAAUUACCAAAAUAUAAAAUGCGAAUACCCUUUGACCCAGCAAUUCUGCUUAUAGGAAUUUCUCCCCUGGAAUUAAUUUGAUUGAGUAUGCAAAUGAAUAUGUACAAGGACUCACCUUUCAGAGUAGCAUUGUCCAUGAGAGCAGUCAGCAGAAUACAACUGAAAUUUCCAUGAGCACCGGCAGAGCCGGUCAAAUUAUGAUACAGCCAUGCAGCGGAUGACCACACAAAUCUUUUUAUUUUUUUAAGGCACAGUUGACGCAUGUGUGUUGACCUGGAGAGUGGUUGAAGGUCAAUUAUUAAGUAAACAAAAAGCCAGUUGCAGAGCCCUCUGUCCAGUAUAAUCCCGUUUGAUGUUUAGAAGAGAAGGUAUGAGCAUGGAUAUUGUCUCGAAGGCUAUGGAAUAACUGGAAUGCUGGCCAUCUCUGCAAACCGAAAAGAGUUCAUGAUGCAGUUUGUGACUUGCACAGAACCUCUUCUUUCCAAAUGUGAGCCUGGAACAAGUGAUCACCUUCAUGGAUUUCUUUGUUAGUCUCUGGUAUUCUAACUUAGGAUAAGGUAAGAAUUCAGUCAAUUAGUGCAGUAGUCAUUUCAGCAGCUGACUUUGUUUCUGAAAAAAACAAAAAGAAAAGAAAAUAGAAAUUUCAGACAUAGAGUGGAUCUAUUCCCUAAUUGCCGUCUGUCACUUAACCCCUACUUUUCUUGUGCUUUACCUUAAUGCAAUAUUCCCAAAGGACGUUACCACAUCUCUUAAGAACAGAUGAUACUGUGCUGGGGACAAUACAAUGUAUUAUCACUAUUUCACACCAAAGGAAAAUAUUGAUCUUAAUUUUCACAAAACUAUU